Molecule: long non-coding RNA, 307 nt
Organism: Carcharodon carcharias (great white shark)
Lineage: Eukaryota; Metazoa; Chordata; Chondrichthyes; Lamniformes; Lamnidae
Exons: 3
Source: RefSeq, a predicted model, not a curated record
UGAGCAUGGCUCUGCGGUCAGUCCCUGAAGCAUGGAGCUGAAAUAAGUCACCAUUUAAGACUAAAGGGAAGAGUGCAGAAAAUCUUUUCACACAAAGAUCUCUCAGAGUCUGGCACAUUUUGCCACAAGUGGUUUUACAGAUUUGUACAUCUACAGGACAAUUCCAAAAUUGCAAACCGGAAGACUUUCUGGCUUUGACAAACAUGAUGGCUCCAGCUCCCCGGCACACCAGGUCCUCUCUUCAAUGUCUUGGGAUAGCAAGAUGAGGAGAACACAAUGAUCAUGUGAUUCAAGCAGGCUCUUAUGG